Molecule: non-coding RNA, 73 nt
Organism: Stegodyphus mimosarum
Lineage: Eukaryota; Metazoa; Arthropoda; Arachnida; Araneae; Eresidae
Source: Rfam
GCCUUCGUGGUGUAGUGGUCAGCACGCUCGACGCGUAGCCGAGAGGUCCGUGGUUCGAUUCCCGGCGACGGCA